Triticum aestivum (bread wheat) is the source of this 1185-nucleotide long non-coding RNA. RefSeq lists it as uncharacterized. Lineage: Eukaryota; Viridiplantae; Streptophyta; Magnoliopsida; Poales; Poaceae. The record is from RefSeq and is a predicted model, not a curated record. The transcript is spliced from 3 exons.
GUGCUCACAAGUUGUUAUCCCCGGCAUGAGGAGAAGAACCUACUAGCUACCAUAUGAAAAACCAGCACCAAUCUCUCUCCCAAGUUUCAAGCCAAUCUUCCAGUUUCAUCAUCGCCGGCACCAUCUUUUUCGGAGUUCUCUCCCCGUCGCCUCACCGGUAGUUAUCAAAGAGGGAAGGCAUGCAAGGCCCUCCUGGUCUGCCUCCUCCGGCCCCAUUCUACCCCGGCGGAUACCCUCCUCCGCCGGGCUGGCCUGGUUACCCUAUGCCAUUUGUUCCGGUGCAAGGGUACGGAGCUCCACCUGGUGCGUAUCCUCAACCCGGAGGAUACCCUCCGGCCGGGUAUCCACAACAACAUGGCCAUGCGCAGCCCGCUGGCUAUGCCGUCCAUGAUAAAUCGAAGAAGAAGUCUUCAAAGAAAGGAAAAAAAGGUAAGGGUGGUGGCUUCGGCUCAUUCCUCGCCGGUGCCGCUAGCGGUGCAGUUACGGUACUUGGAGCUGUAUUGGCUGAAGAUGAAGAACAGUCUUCUGGCAAGUUCAAAUGGAAGUGAUAAACCAAGAAAAAGAAUGCAAUUACCAUUUUCUCUUUCGGUCGGUUCAGCAAAAAAUUACUUAUAUGCUUCUAAGAAAAAAAUGCAAUUACCAUCAUAAUGCCGGUUAUUUCUCUCUUAUGGAUUUGUAGUACAAUAUGAUCUAUCGGAGAUUUGUUCAGCACAUAAGACAAAGAUUAAAUGCUCGAAUCUAUAUACAUGCAUCAAUAGAAGGACAGAAAGGCGGCUAAAUAUAUGUUUUGCAUGCCUGCAGUUACUGCUAUGUAAAAUUCUUCAAUGAUUUUUUCGAUGGAAAAUAUGUUUUGCUGCCCGCGCACCAUCUUGUUGUAAUUACCGGCAUGCUCACGCCUCUCCGUCAUUGGAUUCACAUCGUGCAGAUAGUGGCUGUUUGUGAGGGACCACACUCGACUUCUCGUUGUGCGAAGGCGAGGGAAAAUGCGAACAUGUGUCGAAAUCAACAAACGUGCUUUCCUUAUCCAAAAUAUGUGCUUCAAUGGGAGGGCCGCGAUUAGUGUACGUGAGUACACCACGAAUUGAUGAAUUGGUCGUAAUGGACGUCACUUUGUCACCACCCAAAAUUGUUCGAGUGGUGUUGGGGAGAGAGAGGUUAGUAAAAUUGUACGUAUUUGUGCACGCA